GAAAUGCGAUAAGUAAUGUGAAUUGCAGAAUUCAGUGAAUCAUCGAAUCUUUGAACGCAACUUGCGCUCCUUGGUAUUCCUUGGAGCAUGCCUGUUUGAGUAUCAUGAAAUCUUCAAAGUAAAUCUUUUGUUAACUCAAUUGGUUUCUACUUUGGUAUUGGAGGUCUUUGCAGCUUCACACCUGCUCCUCUUUGUUCAUUAGCUGGAUCUCAGUGUUAUGCUUGGUUCCACUCGGCGUGAUAAGUUAUCUAUCGCUGAGGAUACUGUAAAAGGUGGCCAAGGUAAAUGCAGAUGAACCGCUUCUAAUAGUCCAUUGACUUGGACAAUACUUUUAUGAUCUGAUCUCAAAUCAGGUAGGACUACCCGCUGAACUUAAGC
This 378-nucleotide unclassified non-coding RNA is filed under the name plant metagenome. Its description in RNAcentral is "partial contains 5.8S ribosomal RNA, internal transcribed spacer 2, and large subunit ribosomal RNA". The stretch from base 1 to 105 matches the Rfam family "5.8S ribosomal RNA", at positions 50 to 154 of the family's 154-position model. The record is from RNAcentral.